Molecule: transfer RNA, 70 nt
Filed under: Monacoa niger
Lineage: Eukaryota; Metazoa; Chordata; Actinopteri; Argentiniformes; Opisthoproctidae
Description: Monacoa sp. JYP-2016b tRNA-Trp
Rfam family: tRNA
About the family: Transfer RNA (tRNA) molecules are approximately 80 nucleotides in length.
Source: RNAcentral
AGCGGCUUAGGAUAAAAUAAACCAAGAGCCUUCAAAGCUCUAAACGGAGGUGAGAACCCACCAGCCCCUG